Molecule: long non-coding RNA, 679 nt
Organism: Drosophila simulans
Lineage: Eukaryota; Metazoa; Arthropoda; Insecta; Diptera; Drosophilidae
Exons: 2
Source: RefSeq, a predicted model, not a curated record
AAUGCAUCCCAGCACCAAGUUGCAUCUGCUGCACUCGCAGUGCUGGACAACGCUAGAAGAAAAUCAAAGCUGCGCUUUGGAGAUACAAAGCGGAAACCAUUAAUUUGGCCAGGUUGCUUCAUUUGGUCUUUUAAUUUCAGCCGGAGCAAAAGAAAUAAACAGUGAAAUUUAGCAGCAGGCGAUUUGAGCCGUUCUUAGGCCUAAUGUUCUGGAAACAACAUGAAACCGAGUCAAUGGCGAGCUAAAUCUUGGUUUCGGGUGCAGUUUCAGCUUACAGCUGGCUUUAUCGCACCAGCUCCAACUCGGACGCCAUCAUCUGCAGAAGCAGCUGAAGCUCCAGCUGAAGCCCCAGCUGGCAGCGGUGAAAGGCCUGAAGUGAUCAAUAAGUACCAGGGAGCUCGACGAUCCUCAGGCCACGGAACUCGAGUGCCCCGAAAUGUGUGCCUAUUAAACAGUCAUCAAUGAUUGUUACAUUCUACAAAUAGAAAACGGCGGAGCCGUCGGGAGAGAAUGCUUGGAGCAACAGCAGCAGCGAAGGAGAUCAAUCCGGCGAUCGUUUGGCAGAUCUAUGAGUCAUGAUCCGCGGAUCGACUUGAGCGAUCGAUCAAUAAGAUAUUUUAGAAACUGGCGCAAACUAUUACUAUUAUUGAGAUAUAAUUCCGGUGUGUGGGGCUUCUAA